UGCCAGACUCCUACGGGAGGCAGCAGUGAGGAAUAUUGGUCAAUGGGCGGGAGCCUGAACCAGCCAAGCCGCGUGAGGGAAGAAGGUACAGCGUAUCGUAAACCUCUUUUGUCAGGGAACAAAGGCGGGGACUAGUCCCCGGAUGAGGGUACCUGAAGAAAAAGCAUCGGCUAACUCCGUGCCAGCAGCCGCGGUAAUACGGAGGAUGCGAGCGUUAUCCGGAUUUAUUGGGUUUAAAGGGUGCGCAGGCGGCGUGUUAAGUCAGCGGAAAAAGCCCGGGGCUCACCCCCGGCGAGCCGUUGAAACUGGCGGGCUGGAGUUGGAGAGAAGUACGCGGAAUGCGCGGUGUAGCGGUGAAAUGCAUAGAUAUCACGCAGAACCCCGAUUGCGAAGGCAGCCUUCCGGCGCCCUACUGACGCUGAGGCACGAAAGUGCGGGGAUCGAACAGGAUUAGAUACCCUAGUAGC
RNAcentral lists this ribosomal RNA (467 nucleotides) under uncultured bacterium. RNAcentral describes it as "bacterial SSU rRNA". It matches the Rfam family "Bacterial small subunit ribosomal RNA", at positions 329 to 794 of the family's 1533-position model. The record is from RNAcentral.